GACGAACGCUGGCGGCGUGCUUAACACAUGCAAGUCGAACGCUGAAGCACCAGCUUGCUGGUGUGGAUGAGUGGCGAACGGGUGAGUAAUACGUGAGUAACCUGCCCUUGACUCUGGGAUAAGCCCGGGAAACUGGGUCUAAUACUGGAUGCUACAUGUCACCGCAUGGUGGUGUGUGGAAAGGGUUUACUGGUCUUGGAUGGGCUCACGGCCUAUCAGCUUGUUGGUGAGGUAAUGGCUCACCAAGGCGACGACGGGUAGCCGGCCUGAGAGGGUGACCGGCCACACUGGGACUGAGACACGGCCCAGACUCCUACGGGAGGCAGCAGUGGGGAAUAUUGCACAAUGGGCGAAAGCCUGAUGCAGCGACGCCGCGGGAGGGAUGACGGACUUCGGGUUGUAAACCUCUUUCAGCAGGGAAGAAGCCACAAGUGACGGUACCUGCAGAAGAAGCGCCGGCUAACUACGUG
RNAcentral lists this ribosomal RNA (470 nucleotides) under uncultured bacterium. RNAcentral describes it as "partial 16S ribosomal RNA". It matches the Rfam family "Bacterial small subunit ribosomal RNA", at positions 28 to 507 of the family's 1533-position model. The record is from RNAcentral.